GCCCGGUUAGCUCAAUCGGUAGAGCGUGAGACUUUUAAAACUCUGUAUUUGUUCAUGAAAUGCGGAAAAAAAGUCAAUCUCAAGGUUGCGGGUUCGACCCCCGCAUCGGGCU
RNAcentral lists this transfer RNA (112 nucleotides) under Serendipita sp. 397. RNAcentral's name for it is "tRNA-Lys". It matches the Rfam family "tRNA". Rfam says of the family: Transfer RNA (tRNA) molecules are approximately 80 nucleotides in length. Their secondary structure includes four short double-helical elements and three loops (D, anti-codon, and T loops). The record is from RNAcentral. RNAcentral also lists the same sequence under 2 other names. Lineage: Eukaryota; Fungi; Basidiomycota; Agaricomycetes; Sebacinales; Serendipitaceae.